UCAAAGAAAGAAGACUUAAACUUCUAUCACUAGCCCCCAAAGCUAGUAUUUUUACUUAAACUAUUCUUCG
This 70-nucleotide transfer RNA is filed under the name Percilia gillissi. RNAcentral's name for it is "tRNA-Pro". Lineage: Eukaryota; Metazoa; Chordata; Actinopteri; Centrarchiformes; Percichthyidae. The record is from RNAcentral.